RNAcentral lists this long non-coding RNA (236 nucleotides) under Brassica rapa (field mustard). RNAcentral's name for it is "long non-coding RNA (BRAP_LNC005162)". The record is from RNAcentral. Lineage: Eukaryota; Viridiplantae; Streptophyta; Magnoliopsida; Brassicales; Brassicaceae.
GGGAAUUGAAACUCAAGAACUCUUCCUGUAGAAAUAUGCACUUAUUAGUUUUUAUUCAUUGGUUUUGACUUGCGAAUCACUGUAUAUCAAAAGAUUAAACUUCGUAGAGUGACUACUGUUGAAUAUGUUAUCUAUAGAACAGUUUGGUUAACACGUCUCAUAAACCAGUCCGAAAUUCGCUUGGGCCAUGAUUAUUACAUCGAUCGAUGAGCCAACCACAAAGCCGAAGUGAGCAC